GAUAGUGGACAAAAUAUGACCCAUCUGUGUUGGGCUUUUCUGUUUUGGGCCAAUUUACAGCAAAUGUUUGGGUCAAGCUUAAAUUAGCUUUUCAGAUGACAUAAAAAAAAGAGAAAAAAAAAUUCAGAAAAGUUUAGUGGUUUACGAUUAUGUAUAUUUCUAUAUUUCCAUCUCAAAUCCAAGUAUGUGUGUAUCAUCCCAAUAAAAAAAGGGGAAGAAACUUGAAAAUUUUAAAAGAAAAUAAGAGAUCAACGGUUCAGAUCUCAUUUCAUAAUGGA
Molecule: long non-coding RNA, 278 nt
Filed under: Carica papaya (papaya)
Lineage: Eukaryota; Viridiplantae; Streptophyta; Magnoliopsida; Brassicales; Caricaceae
Description: long non-coding RNA (CPAP_LNC000328)
Source: RNAcentral